GGGGACGCUGCACGCGCUAGGCUCCUCUGGCGGCAGGAGGGCUAGCUGCUGGGCGCGCUGGCGGCUCCCACACGCUGCGAGGAGGGGCCGCGGCCGCGGAGGACUGUCAGUAUGGCUCGGGGGUGGUGUUUAAACCGGGAGUCGGGAGACGACUACGGAGGAGACAGAACCUGCGACGGCGCCGACAACUAAGGCUUUUAGCCUCUACGCUCCUCAACUCUUAAGGCCCUUCCCUCAUCCCGUUGGCCAAAUUCCGCUGCAGCUGCGUUCCCUGCCACCCCGCCAUCGGGGACCUACACGCGACAAAAUGGCUGGCACGUCUUGCGGAGUGGGGGAAGACGCGCAUGCGUCAGGCCCUGUUAGCUGUUCUCUAGGCACUCCUUGACUAACCUAUGCUACACGCCCGACUGCGAUGACACCGUUCACAGCCAGCCGACCGACUGCAUUCUAGAAAGAGGGAAUAAAAGUUAAACGAAAAUUUCUCUGAAAAGUCUUCGAAGCGAGGAAAGAGUAAUUGACAAGGUGUGGCUUCUUUGCUAGGUAGUAACAUCACAAUUUCGUAAUGCGUUAUAGGUUUGUUUUUGUUUUUUCGAGACAAGGUUUUUCUGUGUAGCCCUGGCCGUCCUGGAACUCACUCUGUAGACCAGGCUGGCCUCGAACUCAGAAAUCCACCUGCCUCUGCCUCCCAAGUGCUGGGAUUAAAGACGUGCACCACCACUGCCCUGUGCGUUACAGUUUACAAGAGUCUUGAGUAUUGUGUUUAUUAGCACAGCCUCAAAUUAACCAUUAUGGGCUGGAGAGAUGGCUCAGCACGUAGGAGCACUGACUGCUCUUCCAAAGGUCCUGAGUUAAAAUCCCAGCAACCACAUGGUGGCUCACAAUCAUCCUUAAUAAGAUCUGACGCCCUCUCUGGUGUGUCUGAAGACAGCUACAGUGUACUUAGAUAUAAUAAUAAAGAAAAUCUUUUUAAAAAAUUAACCAUUACAUUCUCAUCUGCCUGUGUGAAUCUUUUGAGAAGAUUGGACGUUCAUGUAUUCCUAUUGAACACAGGAACUUCAUUUUAAUUAUGCCAACUCAACGGAAAGGUUUUUGAGGCAAGGAGCCUGUUUCAUCAUUUAAAAUUAAUAUCUCUGUGCCAAGAACUGUUUUAGGAUUAGGGAAAUGAUGGCAAAGCAGACAAAAAUUACUCCGCCUUGAUUUGGUAUCAGGACCAAACCACAAGCAUGUGUCAGGGAGUAAGGAGUCAUAAAGAGGUAUGGAGUAAGAUUAAAGGAGAAAGACUGUGUAUAUGAAUAAUGGUGUGAUCCAGUUUUUAAAAAGAGAUUGAGAAAAAAGCAACCAAGCACAUAUGAGGGGAGGGAAGAAGAGCUGGCAAAAGAACACCAAGUGCUGAGUCCCUAAACCAGGACUGUUGAAACAUUUUAGAGGAAGAAGAAGGAAGCCAGUGUGACUGGCAGAGGAUGAGAAAGCCACUAAGAUAAGAGACAGAAGAGGUGAGAAGCAAAGAGGGCUCAUGUAGGGCAUUGAAAGCCACUGUACUGACUUUGGGUUUGUUUUUGUUUCUUUUGAGCUAAAGUUUCUCUGUGUAGCCCUGGCUAUCCUGAAACUUGCUCUGUAGAGUCUGGCCUCCAAUUCAGGAGAUCCUAUCUCCUUGCCUUCCAAGUGCUGAGGUGGGUUUUUUGUUGUUGUUGUUUGUUUGUUUGUUUUGGUUUUCCGAGACAGGGUUUCUCUGUGCAGUCUUGGCUGUCCUGGAACUCUGUAGACCAGGCUGGCCUUGAACUCGGAAAUCCACCUGCCUCUGUCUCCCAAGCGCUGAAAUUAAAGGUGUGAGCCACUACUGCCCUGCCAAAGUGCUGAGAUUUAAAAGCCUGUCUGCACUUUGGAUUCUCUUUCUUUCUUCCAAGCUUUGAUUUUUAUUACUUAUAAAAAGCUGCAUAUUUAUUUUGCUUUCUGACUCUGUACUUGUGCUUUCACCACAAUUUUCUGCUCCUCAAUAAGGAAAGCCAGCUUGAUCCUGUUCCAGACACACUUAGCUCACACACGGAAUCACCAUAGACAGAGGUCCUAAAAUUCAGUUUCCAACAACCACAUGAAGGCUCACAGCCAUCUGUAUAGCUACAGUGUACUCAUAUACAUAUUUAUUAAUAAAUCUUGUUUUAAAUUUUACAACACUUUUAAAGACCUUAAUGAUCCUACAAUCAAGUUCUCAUUCUCUGCAAUGAACAUUCUGAUGAGCUGAAUGGAAGUUUGGUAUUCCAAAUAGAAAAGAGCUGUGGAAAGAAGGAACAACUAACAGCAGAUUGUUUUCAAGUUAUUUUCCUUCCAAGGUUAAAAGCAGGACUUCCUUAUCAUACCAGCUGAAAAUGACCUGCUUGGAGAUUUCACUCUUACCUCUUUACUGGUUUCUUGGGAGAUUAAAAUAAACAAGUUUCACUUGA
This is a long non-coding RNA of Mus musculus (house mouse), 2438 nucleotides long. RefSeq annotates it as predicted gene, 29948. The transcript has 2 exons. Lineage: Eukaryota; Metazoa; Chordata; Mammalia; Rodentia; Muridae. The record is from RefSeq and is a predicted model, not a curated record.